RNAcentral lists this unclassified non-coding RNA (134 nucleotides) under plant metagenome. Its description in RNAcentral is "partial contains 5.8S ribosomal RNA, internal transcribed spacer 2, and large subunit ribosomal RNA". The record is from RNAcentral.
AGCUUAACCGGCAGCGGGAUGCGCUGGCCCGCGUCAACCAGCAGCAGGAGCGGCUGAGUACCGUUCAGAACCGCUACGAGUCAGGCAAGCGCGCUGUCGCGCGGGUGCAGCAGCUGGCUAAUGCGGGUGUAGGC